This 121-nucleotide small RNA is filed under the name Salmonella enterica. RNAcentral describes it as "partial RtT sRNA". It matches the Rfam family "RtT RNA". Rfam says of the family: This family represents a bacterial cis-regulatory element known as RtT RNA. The exact function of RtT is unknown although it is thought that it may be involved in changing the cellular response in relation to amino acid starvation. The record is from RNAcentral. Lineage: Bacteria; Pseudomonadati; Pseudomonadota; Gammaproteobacteria; Enterobacterales; Enterobacteriaceae.
ACGGGGAAGGAUGAGAAGCUUCGACUAAGGUUCGAUUCGAGCGAAAGCGAGAAAGCGUUGCCAACGGCAACGACCCGAAGGGCGAAGCGCGCAGCGCUGAGUCAUCCUUCCCCCACCACCA